Molecule: ribosomal RNA, 397 nt
Filed under: uncultured bacterium
Lineage: Bacteria
Description: partial 16S ribosomal RNA
Rfam family: Bacterial small subunit ribosomal RNA
Source: RNAcentral
CCUACGGGUGGCAGCAGUGAGGAAUAUUGGUCAAUGGCCGCUAGCCGGAACCAGCCAAGUAGCGUGAAGGAUGACUGCCCCAUGGGUUGUAAACUUCUUUUAUAUGGGGAUAAAAUGCAGUAUGUAUACUUCUUUGCAUGUACCUUAUGAAAAAGGAUCGGCUAACUCCGUGCCAGCAGCCGCGGUAAUACGGAGGAUCCGGGCGUUAUCCGGAUUUAUUGGGUUUAAAGGGAGCGUAGGCGGGUUGUUAAGUAAGCUGUGAAAGUUUGGGGCUCAACCGCAAACUUGCAGUUGAUACUGGCAUUCUUGAGUACUGUAGAGGUAGGCGGAAUUCGUAGUGUAGCGGUGAAAUGCUUAGAUAUUACGAAGAACUCCGAUUGCGAAGGCAGCAUGCUGG